Molecule: long non-coding RNA, 1088 nt
Filed under: Oncorhynchus mykiss (rainbow trout)
Lineage: Eukaryota; Metazoa; Chordata; Actinopteri; Salmoniformes; Salmonidae
Description: lncRNA (ENSOMYG00000056021.1)
Source: RNAcentral
UUAGUCUACAGGAGUGAGGAAGUCUGAAGAUCAAAGCUCCCACCUACAAACAGUAGACAGCGCUGACUAUCUUUAUUUUAUCAUCUGUGCCUCAGUGCUGCUUCUUCAGAGUAGUGCAACCUUGUUCCAGAUUCAAAAGUGUUGAAGACAGAUGUCUGAACAUUGUGGGAAAUGAAGCAAGCUGAACACCCUUGCUGAAUCAGAGAGUGAACAGCUGUGUAGCUGUGUGGAGACCAGUGACCGGGCUUCAUUCUGCACCAAUGGAGGUAGGGACCCUCUCUCUCCUUCUCUAUUUAUACACUUACCCUUACUUUUACAGGGCAUCUCGCUACUCCCUCCCUGCCAAAAACUUCAGUUAGUAUCAGUUAAAAGAUUCAGUGGUGGUAGUUGGUAAGGUGGAAUAGUGCUGGCUCCUUGUUUGAGAAAACAUCAUGAGAAAACUCUGAAUACAUACUGCUCUUGAAUAGUAUAGACCAUAUCUCUAUUCCAGUUUGAGGCAUUGGACACUUCCUUCUCUGCUAGAGCACUGGUCUGGAGGACACCUGUGGGUUACUGAAGCCCUCAUGUGUUCAGGUUUUAAUGGACUCAGCCAUGCAUAUCAGAGUCAGCAAGGCAUUGUUCAUUAUCUGUGUGCCCUAACAUAAGUUGACUUUAAGAAAGCCAUUCAUGCAGUAUGGGAUAUUUGAAGCAGUCAUUCUACACAUGCUCUCCGCUUGUAUUUGUUUUAGAGUGAAAGGAAUGAGCGUUGGGUAGACUUUCAUAUGCAGCACUUAUAAACUGUAUUGUGUUUAGGUAUGAUUCACUAUGAGGCUAUAUAUUAAGACAACAUUAAUUUUCCAGAACUGUUUAAAAUAGUUGAACUGUGUGUGUGCAAACUUUAUUACAAGAGUUAUUAGUUAAACUGGGUGUGACAAACAAAAGCUCUAUUCAGUGUUAAAUCGGGGCACUCAUCGAUUAUUGAAAGCAAUACCUUUUACCUCUACAUGAUGGUUUCAUUUCUUCCAAGAAGAAGUAGACAUCCCUCUAUGUGACACGUCCUCUAUCAGCAAUGUAAGCAGCCCUAAUGAAGGCCAAGCCUGGUCUGUCUG